This 252-nucleotide ribosomal RNA is filed under the name uncultured Bacteroidales bacterium. RNAcentral's name for it is "partial 16S ribosomal RNA". It matches the Rfam family "Bacterial small subunit ribosomal RNA", at positions 524 to 776 of the family's 1533-position model. The record is from RNAcentral. Lineage: Bacteria; Pseudomonadati; Bacteroidota; Bacteroidia; Bacteroidales.
UACGGAGGAUGCGAGCGUUAUCCGGAUUUAUUGGGUUUAAAGGGUGCGCAGGCGGCGUGUCAAGCAAGCGGUAAAAUAGCGGGGCUCAACCCCGUCGAGCCGUUUGAACUGGCGCGCUUGAGUUCAGGCGAGGUAGGCGGAAUUCGUGGUGUAGCGGUGAAAUGCAUAGAUAUCACGCAGAACUCCGAUUGCGAAGGCAGCUUACUAAGCCAUAACUGACACUGAAGCACGAAAGCGUGGGGAUCAAACAGG